CCCUUAGAUGUUCUGAACCGCACGCGUGUUACACUGAUGCAUUCAACGAGCUUUACCUUGGCCGAGAGGCCUGGGAAAUCUUUUUAGCAUGCAUCGUGAUAGGGAUUGAUUAUUGCAAUUAUUAAUCAUGAACGAGGAAUUCCUAGUAAACGCAUUUCAUCAAAAUGCAUUGAUUACGUCCCUGCCCUUUGUACACACCGCCCGUCGCACCUACCGAUUGAGUGGUCCGGUGAAGUCUCGAGAUUGUGGCAAUCUCCUUUAUUGGAGUUGGACUGCGAGAACUUGCCUAAACCUUAUCACUUAGAGGAAGGUGAAGUCGUAACA
Molecule: ribosomal RNA, 324 nt
Filed under: uncultured eukaryote
Lineage: Eukaryota
Description: partial 18S ribosomal RNA
Rfam family: Eukaryotic small subunit ribosomal RNA
Source: RNAcentral